Molecule: long non-coding RNA, 1390 nt
Filed under: Canis lupus familiaris (dog)
Lineage: Eukaryota; Metazoa; Chordata; Mammalia; Carnivora; Canidae
Description: lncRNA (ENSCAFG00040012370.1)
Source: RNAcentral
AUGUUCAGUCUACUUGGAUUGGCUUCAAACAAAUGUGACAGAUGUCGCUUUUUUUGGCUCCAAUGCUUGCCAGUCGAGCAUAUGCAUGUUUGCACAUUACAUCUGCAAUCAGCGAUAACGUCCUGUGCCCCAAAGAGCUUGCACAUCCAACUUUCACUGAAAAAUCUUGAAUUGCUUUUCCUCCAAGUCCUCUGGCUCGCAGGUGCUCUUGAUAUCUCUCUUUGCUUUUUCCAGCUACUUAUUAUUCGAAUGUGUGAGUGUACCGUAGUCUGCAACCUAUCUCCUAUAUAUGGGUACUUGGGGCCUUUCUAAUAUGUUGCAAUUACAAUAACACAAUAAAUAACCUUGUAUCUGACUUUUGCACAAAUUUUUUUUUUGUACUCUUCCAGGUUUAUGUUCAGGGUAAGUUAUUAAAAUUGCCUUUGUUUUGUUAAAGGGUAAAUGCAUAUGUUGUUUCUAUUGUAAUAUGUGCCCUCUUUAGGGAUUAUACUAUUUUUUUGCCAAUCUCAUUGGUGAAAAAUAGUAUCUCAUCAUGGUUGUAAGUUACAUUUCUCUUACGGGAAAAGUUGAAUAUCUUUUAAAAUGCUUUAGGGGAAUAUAAUCUAUUUUUUUGGCGAAUUAUCCCUGUAUUCUGUUUUUUUUCUACUGGGUUUUUGGUCUUUUUGCCCCCUCUCAUUUUUUUUUAAAGAUUUAUUUAUUUAUGAUAGACAUAGAGAGAGAGAGAGGCAGAGACACAGGCAGAGGGAGAAGCAGGCUCCAUGCCGGGAGCCCAAUGCGGGACUCAAUCCCGGGACUCCAGGAUCGUGCCCUGGGCCAAAGGCAGGCGCUAAACCGCUGGGCCACCCAGGGAUCCCCUGCCCCCUCUCAUUUUUUAAAAGAUUUUAUUUUUAAGUAAUCUCUACACCCAACAUGGGGCUUGAAACUCAUGAUCUGGAGGUCAAGAGUCACAUACUUUACCAACUGAGCCAGCCAAGUGUCCCUCCCCUAAUUUUUUUUUUUUAAAUAAGUUCUUCAUAUAUUUGGGGAUAUUAGUCUUUUAUCUGUGAUAGAUCUUGAAAAUAUUUUCUCUCAAUUUGUCAUUUACCUUUUGACUUGGUAAUUUUUCUUGUCAUGCAAAUAUAUUUUCACAAAGCUCAAUCUGUUCAGUCUGUUAUUUUAUUACAUAUGAAUUUUGAUAUAUUUUCUUUAUUCAGAAUUUUCCCAAAAGUUGUCUACUACCAAUGCUAGGCUAUGGUGGUGUUUGAGUUACAAAUACAACGUGGGUAUGUCUGCAUUUGUCACUCUUUGCUCACAAUACUAAGUCUAAAUGCAAGCACCAGACUAUUUCAUUACAUCUGCUAAUGUAGCUAUGCCUGAGCAUUUACAUAUUAAAAUGCAUAUCAUAGUAUAA